ACAAAUCAAGAUUGUCAAUAAUUAGUCAUUUCCAUCUGAGAUAUGUGCGCAGAAAAUCACAAUCAUAUUUAAGGAAAGGAUGGAUAAAGAGGGUUAAUAUUGGAAGACUGUCUCAUAGGAGACAAAAGACUUUUACCGGGAAGAAUUUAAAAAAUACUGUAUAUGAGAUGAGGCAAUAACAUUCCUUAUAAAGGAGGCUUGGAAGCGCAAGGCUGCAGAGUGCUACAGGGCACUCAUGUGUACUAUGAGGAAAGGAAAAGAAAAGGUUGUGGUGCCUGAUAGUACAAUGCGCAAAUGAAAAAAAGGCAUGGAGUAAGCUAGAUUUCAAAGCUAGGAGUGAAAAAUUCACUGCUAACCGCCAUCGUGAGAUAGGAGGAGUCGGAGCAGGCAUUUUUCACCAUACAGGAGGCUCGCUAUCACAUGCUUUGCAUACAGAAAGAUUAGUAAUAAUUUAAUAUUUAUUGGUUCUUUUAGUGCUUAACUAUAUAUUAAUAGGGAAUAUUCCAACAUAAUUAUUAACUAAAAUCAUUGUGCCUUUUUCAAAAAUCUAAACUUGGUUGAGCACCUCUCGCCU
This 574-nucleotide unclassified non-coding RNA is filed under the name Hevea brasiliensis (rubber tree). Lineage: Eukaryota; Viridiplantae; Streptophyta; Magnoliopsida; Malpighiales; Euphorbiaceae. The record is from RNAcentral.